Molecule: long non-coding RNA, 1284 nt
Organism: Panicum virgatum (switchgrass)
Lineage: Eukaryota; Viridiplantae; Streptophyta; Magnoliopsida; Poales; Poaceae
Exons: 2
Source: RefSeq, a predicted model, not a curated record
CCUGCCCCUGAUGGUUCAAUUGUUUGCGCAUAUUUUUUAUAGCUAGUCACCCAACUCCGCCUCGAGCCCUCGACUGCGGCGGCGAGGCGAUUGUGGCGUCAUUAGCACUGCCUCCAUUUUCUCCUACUGGCACCGCCGUCAGGACAUCUAGAUCCAGGUUAAUUGCAUCAGAACCCAUUGUUCCAGACUUUGGAAUUGAAGGAAGCAUCGACCGAAGUCAGAGACCCUCUCCGAAAAUAGAAGGAGCUGAUCUGUUGAUUAAUUGUGAGCAUAAUCUCCCAAUCUGAGCAUCUAGUGUUGAAUUUGCCGGUGGCCGUCAUUAUCGUACCCGUGUUCGAUCUCGCCCACGUCAGGGGACCACUCUUGGACACCUAGUUCCUCGUUUUUCUCCACUGCUGUGCUGACGAUGCCACCUUGGUGCCUCAUCCAACUGUGCGACUCUGUAGAGGCGCAUCGGAGCAGCGACAGCGGUAAGGGAGAGGAGAGACAUACUGGCUAGUGUAUGUGCUUUAGACUUAAGGAUCCACAUCCAUAAGGUAUAUCGUGGUUGAGCAGUAGGGGUUCUUGGUUUGGAUUGAUUAAUUUUCAUGUUGCGUUUUCCAGUAGAUAUCUCUGCUCAUGCUUAGAUAUGAGUGAAUUCAUUUCUUUUUGUUCCUUCCGACUUCCGUGCUAUGAUACUAUUCCUUCCCUGCUGCAAGGCUGCAAAUUACUUACUAUAGGUGAAUGGUAUUUUUGGCUGAGCAUUUUGGUUUCUGAGCCAGAUCUUUUGCAUGCAAAUUUAUAAGACCCAACAGAUUUAAUUGAUUUAUGCUGCAUAGUAUUUCCUCUUCAUAAUUUAUUAAUGUUGCCAAGUCUGUGUCAUCUUAUACUGGAUACUUGUAUUCUUGUAGGUGCACCCAUUGUUCCAACAAGUGAGAGCUGCAGAGAACAGCAGGACACACGCAUAACAAGCAAGGGCAGAGACACGCUAACCGAAUCAUCAGCUGGGCUCCAUCAAUCUUCAGUUGUAUAAUAGCGGUUGGGUCACUUGACGGGAACAAAAGGUUACGAGGGAGCCUCUGUUUUAGCCUGUCUUUGACUGCAUUGAGAAGGAAUCAGAUUAUGAGCUUGAGAUGUGAUUGCGAACAUUAUUUUCAUGUAAGUUGUUUGCCAUAAAACGUUAUCUGUUGGCAGAUUGUACUACUGUAUUAUUGAGCUUGUAAAGAAUUACCAACCUUUUGUUUGGACCCCAUCAAGCUCUCUCGUGGGCUAUUCUUACCUUAAGAAAUGUCGUGUUUUGUGGCA